UAGGGAAUCUUCGGCAAUGGACGGAAGUCUGACCGAGCAACGCCGCGUGAGUGAAGAAGGUUUUCGGAUCGUAAAGCUCUGUUGUAAGAGAAGAACGAGUGUGAGAGUGGAAAGUUCACACUGUGACGGUAUCUUACCAGAAAGGGACGGCUAACUACGUGCCAGCAGCCGCGGUAAUACGUAGGUCCCGAGCGUUGUCCGGAUUUAUUGGGCGUAAAGCGAGCGCAGGCGGUUAGAUAAGUUUGAAGUUAAAGGCUGUGGCUUAACCAUAGUAGGCUUUGGAAACUGUUUAACUUGAGUGCAAGAGGGGAGAGUGGAAUUCCAUGUGUAGCGGUGAAAUGCGUAGAUAUAUGGAGGAACACCGGUGGCGAAAGCGGCUCUCUGGCUUGUAACUGACGCUGAGGCUCGAAAGCGUGGGGAGCAAACAGGAUUAGAUACCCUGGUAGUCCACGCUGUAAACGAUGAGUGCUAGGUGUUAGACCCUUUCCGGGGUUUAGUGCCGUAGCUAACGCAUUAAGCACUCCGCCUGGGGAGUACGACCGCAAGGUUG
RNAcentral lists this ribosomal RNA (550 nucleotides) under uncultured bacterium. Its description in RNAcentral is "bacterial SSU rRNA". It matches the Rfam family "Bacterial small subunit ribosomal RNA", at positions 355 to 896 of the family's 1533-position model. The record is from RNAcentral.